RNAcentral lists this ribosomal RNA (301 nucleotides) under uncultured bacterium. RNAcentral's name for it is "partial 16S ribosomal RNA". It matches the Rfam family "Bacterial small subunit ribosomal RNA", at positions 509 to 809 of the family's 1533-position model. The record is from RNAcentral.
CAGCCGCCACGGUAAUACGAGGGGGGCAAGCGUUGUUCGGAAUUAUUGGGCGUAAAGGGCGCGUAGGCGGUCUAACAAGUCUUAUGUGAAAUCUCUGGGCUCAACCCAGGGUCUGCAUGGGAAACUGUCGGGCUUGAGUAUGGGAGAGGUGAGUGGAAUUUCCGGUGUAGCGGUGAAAUGCGUAGAUAUCGGAAGGAACACCUGUGGCGAAAGCGGCUCACUGGACCAUAACUGACGCUGAGGCGCGAAAGCUAGGGGAGCAAAUGGGAUUAGAUACCCCGGUAGUCCCUGUCUCUUAUAA